Molecule: ribosomal RNA, 523 nt
Filed under: uncultured Corynebacterium sp.
Lineage: Bacteria; Bacillati; Actinomycetota; Actinomycetes; Mycobacteriales; Corynebacteriaceae
Description: bacterial SSU rRNA
Rfam family: Bacterial small subunit ribosomal RNA
Source: RNAcentral
GUGCCAGCCGCGGCGGUAAUACGUAGGGUGCGAGCGUUGUCCGGAAUUACUGGGCGUAAAGAGCUCGUAGGUGGUUUGUCGCGUCGUCUGUGAAAUUCCGGGGCUUAACUCCGGGCGUGCAGGCGAUACGGGCAUAACUUGAGUGCUGUAGGGGAGACUGAAUUCCUGGUGUAGCGGUGAAAUGCGCAGAUAUCAGGAGGAACACCGAUGGCGAAGGCAGGUCUCUGGGCAGUAACUGACGCUGAGGAGCGAAAGCAUGGGUAGCGAACAGGAUUAGAUACCCUGGUAGUCCAUGCCGUAAACGGUGGGCGCUAGGUGGUGGGGUCUUUCCAUGACUUCUGUGCCGUAGCUAACGCAUUAAGCGCCCGCCUGGGGAGUACGGCCGCAAGGCUAAAACUCAAAGGAAUUGACGGGGCCCGGCACCAAGCGGCGGAGCAUGUGGAUUAAUUUCGAUGCAACGCGAAGAACCUUACCUGGGCUUGACAUACGCCGGAUCGCUGCAGAGAUGUGGUUUCCCUUGUGG